GCGGUAAUACGUAGGGGGCUAGCGUUAUCCGGAUUUACUGGGCGUAAAGGGUGCGUAGGCGGUCUUUCAAGUCAGGAGUGAAAGGCUACGGCUCAACCGUAGUAAGCUCUUGAAACUGGGAGACUUGAGUGCAGGAGCGGAGAGUGGAAUUCCUAGUGUAGCGGUGAAAUGCGUAGAUAUUAGGAGGAACACCAGUUGCGAAGGCGGCUCUCUGGACUGUAACUGACGCUGAGGCACGAAAGCGUGGGGAGCAAACAGGAUUAGAUACCCUGGUAGUCCACGCUGUAAACGA
This 292-nucleotide ribosomal RNA is filed under the name Clostridioides difficile. RNAcentral's name for it is "partial 16S ribosomal RNA". It matches the Rfam family "Bacterial small subunit ribosomal RNA", at positions 517 to 809 of the family's 1533-position model. Lineage: Bacteria; Bacillati; Bacillota; Clostridia; Peptostreptococcales; Peptostreptococcaceae. The record is from RNAcentral.